CCUACGGGAGACAGCAGUGAGGAAUAUUGGUCAAUGGACGCAAGUCUGAACCAGCCAUGCCGCGUGCAGGAAGACGGCUCUAUGAGUUGUAAACUGCUUUUGUACGAGGGUAAACGCAGAUACGCGUAUCUGUCUGAGAGAAUCGUACGAAUAAGGAUCGGCUAACUCCGUGCCAGCAGCCGCGGUAAUACGGAGGAUUCAAGCGUUAUCCGGAUUUAUUGGGUUUAAAGGGUGCGUAGGCGGUCGGAUAAGUUAGAGGUGAAAUCCCGAGGCUCAACUUCGGAAUUGCCUCUGAUACUGUUCGGCUAGAGAGUAGUUGCGGUAGGCGGAAUGUAUGGUGUAGCGGUGAAAUGCUUAGAGAUCAUACAGAACACCGAUUGCGAAGGCAGCUUACCAAGCUACUUCUGACGUUGAGGCACGAAAGCGUGGGGAGCGAACAGGAUUAGAUACCCGAGUAGUC
Molecule: ribosomal RNA, 460 nt
Filed under: uncultured bacterium
Lineage: Bacteria
Description: partial 16S ribosomal RNA
Rfam family: Bacterial small subunit ribosomal RNA
Source: RNAcentral